This 405-nucleotide ribosomal RNA is filed under the name uncultured bacterium. RNAcentral describes it as "partial 16S ribosomal RNA". It matches the Rfam family "Bacterial small subunit ribosomal RNA", at positions 28 to 526 of the family's 1533-position model. The record is from RNAcentral.
GAUGAACGCUGGCGGCGUGCCUAAUACAUGCAAGUCGAGCGAAUCGGGAACAGGUGAGUAACACGUGGAUAACCUCCUAUAUCACUGGGAUAACAUCGGGGAACCGGACCUCUAUCCGAUACUUAUGCAUGCAUCUACGUUGCAUGAGCUAGUUGGUAAGGUAACGGCUGACAAAGGCAACGAUGCAUAGCCGACCUGAGAGGGUGAUCGGCCACACUGGGACUGAGACACGGCCCAGACUCCUACGGGAGGCAGCAGUAGGGAAUCUUCCGCAAUGGGCGAAAGCCUGACGGAGCAACGCCGCGUGAGUGAUGAAGGUCUUCGGAUCGUAAAGCUCUGUUAUUAGGGAAGCGGUAUCUAAUCAGAAAGCCACGGCUAACUACGUGCCAGCAGCCGCGGUAAUUC